RNAcentral lists this ribosomal RNA (836 nucleotides) under Bacillus amyloliquefaciens. Its description in RNAcentral is "bacterial SSU rRNA". It matches the Rfam family "Bacterial small subunit ribosomal RNA", at positions 56 to 873 of the family's 1533-position model. The record is from RNAcentral. Lineage: Bacteria; Bacillati; Bacillota; Bacilli; Caryophanales; Bacillaceae.
UGCAAGUCGAGCGGACAGAUGGGAGCUUGCUCCCUGAUGUUAGCGGCGGACGGGUGAGUAACACGUGGGUAACCUGCCUGUAAGACUGGGAUAACUCCGGGAAACCGGGGCUAAUACCGGAUGGUUGUUUGAACCGCAUGGUUCAGACAUAAAAGGUGGCUUCGGCUACCACUUACAGAUGGACCCGCGGCGCAUUAGCUAGUUGGUGAGGUAACGGCUCACCAAGGCGACGAUGCGUAGCCGACCUGAGAGGGUGAUCGGCCACACUGGGACUGAGACACGGCCCAGACUCCUACGGGAGGCAGCAGUAGGGAAUCUUCCGCAAUGGACGAAAGUCUGACGGAGCAACGCCGCGUGAGUGAUGAAGGUUUUCGGAUCGUAAAGCUCUGUUGUUAGGGAAGAACAAGUGCCGUUCAAAUAGGGCGGCACCUUGACGGUACCUAACCAGAAAGCCACGGCUAACUACGUGCCAGCAGCCGCGGUAAUACGUAGGUGGCAAGCGUUGUCCGGAAUUAUUGGGCGUAAAGGGCUCGCAGGCGGUUUCUUAAGUCUGAUGUGAAAGCCCCCGGCUCAACCGGGGAGGGUCAUUGGAAACUGGGGAACUUGAGUGCAGAAGAGGAGAGUGGAAUUCCACGUGUAGCGGUGAAAUGCGUAGAGAUGUGGAGGAACACCAGUGGCGAAGGCGACUCUCUGGUCUGUAACUGACGCUGAGGAGCGAAAGCGUGGGGAGCGAACAGGAUUAGAUACCCUGGUAGUCCACGCCGUAAACGAUGAGUGCUAAGUGUUAGGGGGUUUCCGCCCCUUAGUGCCGCAGCUAACGCAUUAAGCACUCCGCC